AGGACGAACGCUGGCGGCGUGCCUAACACAUGCAAGUCGAACGAGGUCCAGUCUGUAGCAAUACAGAUGAAGACCGAGUGGCGAACGGGUGAGUAGCACGUGAGCAACCUGCCCCGAAGACCGGGACAACACCGGGAAACCGGUGCUAAUACCGGAUACCCCCAUCGAGUCGCAUGGCUUGAUGAGGAAAUGGAUUCCGCUUCGGGAGGGCUCGCGGCCUAUCAGCUAGUUGGUGAGGUAACGGCUCACCAAGGCGUCGACGGGUAGCUGGUCUGAGAGGACGAUCAGCCACACUGGGACUGAGACACGGCCCAGACUCCUACGGGAGGCAGCAGUGGGGAAUCUUGCACAAUGGGUGAAAGCCUGAUGCAGCAACGCCGCGUGAGGGACGAAGGCUUUCUGAGUUGUAAACCUCUUUCAGCAGGGACGAUUGUGACGGUACCUGCAGAAGAAGCCCGGCAACUACGUGCCAGCAGCCG
RNAcentral lists this ribosomal RNA (479 nucleotides) under uncultured bacterium. RNAcentral's name for it is "SSU rRNA". It matches the Rfam family "Bacterial small subunit ribosomal RNA", at positions 26 to 517 of the family's 1533-position model. The record is from RNAcentral.